UAAUUACCUACCACAAUACCAGGGGGCAGCUGCACCCAAGAUAGAACACCUGAAGGCUAUGGCUACCCACAGAUCUUACAGCUGAAGAAAUUUGUACUUAACUAGAAAAUUUUCAAUGUAAUAUUGAUAUACCAUUUGAACAUCAUGAUGACAGUGAAGACAGAAUGAUGUGCGGUACUCCGCAGACUAAUAACCCGCCGCGUGGGACAGCUGUGAGGUCUCAGGUGCCCUGCCACGGUUCGUGCAGCUGCCUCCGUCGGAGUUAGAUUAAAUAGUGUGUAAGUCUAGGAACUGAUGACCUCAGCAGUUUGGCCCCAAGGAACUUACCACAAAUAUAUUGAAAAAUAAAUAAAAUAAUAACACAAAAAGUCUUCAAGCGUGUGCUAGUACUUCACAAAAUAUUACAGAACGUCAACUAAGAGCUAAUGAGGAAGAGGCAGUCAAUGAAGAAAAUAUACAAACUGUAUCUCUUUAGGUAUGUACUUAGUACUUCAUAGAAUAUGGACGGACAACUGUGCAGUUCACUUUCUUUUAAAUUAUCGUGGAGAUGAAGUAUGGAGAAAAGUAGAAUGAAGAUUGAAGUGAGGGCAAUAACAGUAGUGAGAAAGUAUUAUGGAAGGAUGAUUCGGUUUAAUGUCCCGUCGUCAGCGAGGUCGUUAAGAGACAGAGCACAAGCUCAGAUCAUGUCAAGGAUGGGGAAGGAAAUCGGCUGUCCCCUUUCAAAGAAACCACCCUGGCAAUUGCCUGGAGCGACUUAGAGAAAUCAAAGAAAGACUAAAUCUGGAUGGCCAGAUGCGGAUCUGAACUGUCAUUCUCGUGAAUGGGAGUCCAGUGUGUUAUCCGCUGCGCCACUUUGCUCGGUCACUAACAGUUGUAAACGAUUUUAAUGAACAAGUGGAUGGCGUAGAUAAAGGUGAGGCCUGCGUAUGAAAUACGCCGAAAAUCAAAAAUAGUGUUGGUUCAGACUGUUUUAUGCACUGCUGGAAAUGACCCUUGAGAAUUCCUGUAUUUCAUACUGUGACGUAAAUGAGACACUUCCAUUGAUUUAUUUCAAGUGUAGAACUAUGCUUGGUCUACUCACACUUAGAGAGCAAGUGUCCAAAAAAACAGGGAAGGCGAAAGGGUGUCAAAAUAUUCCUCUUUCAACUCCAAGCAGAAAAAAGAUAGCAUUUUCUGUACUAGAUGAUAUACUUUUCAGAAUACAGUAUCUUACUGGCCAACAUUUGCCAAUUCAAGAGGCAGAUGUGAACUUUGCUCAUCUGCAAAGGUGGAAUAUAGACCCAUUCAAAGUGUUCGGAGCAUAAUAUUAUUUGGUUUGUCUGUUAGUCAAACACUGAAAUGUUUUUGUAAGUAUCACGAGAAGCAAUAAGCCUAGCUGUAUGAUUCUUUUGGGACUUCUCCGUCCCUUAAUGUACUUUGCCUGUGUACCAAUGUCAGGACUUACAAGUCCUUUGAACAUUUUAUGUAUUUUAAUGGCUCUGUAUCAUUGCACAAAUACAAUAAUUUGCUGUUAA
This is a long non-coding RNA of Schistocerca americana (American grasshopper), 1514 nucleotides long. RefSeq lists it as uncharacterized. The record is from RefSeq and is a predicted model, not a curated record. The transcript has 2 exons. Lineage: Eukaryota; Metazoa; Arthropoda; Insecta; Orthoptera; Acrididae.